RNAcentral lists this ribosomal RNA (253 nucleotides) under uncultured bacterium. RNAcentral's name for it is "partial 16S ribosomal RNA". It matches the Rfam family "Bacterial small subunit ribosomal RNA", at positions 524 to 776 of the family's 1533-position model. The record is from RNAcentral.
UACGUAGGUGGCAAGCGUUGUCCGGAAUUAUUGGGCGUAAAGCGCGCGCAGGUGGUUCCUUAAGUCUGAUGUGAAAGCCCACGGCUCAACCGUGGAGGGUCAUUGGAAACUGGGGAACUUGAGUGCAGAAGAGGAAAGUGGAAUUCCAAGUGUAGCGGUGAAAUGCGUAGAGAUUUGGAGGAACACCAGUGGCGAAGGCGACUUUCUGGUCUGUAACUGACGCUGAGGCUCGAAAGCGUGGGGAGCAAACAGG